RNAcentral lists this ribosomal RNA (574 nucleotides) under Escherichia coli. RNAcentral's name for it is "partial 23S ribosomal RNA". It matches the Rfam family "Bacterial large subunit ribosomal RNA", at positions 2067 to 2640 of the family's 2925-position model. The record is from RNAcentral. Lineage: Bacteria; Pseudomonadati; Pseudomonadota; Gammaproteobacteria; Enterobacterales; Enterobacteriaceae.
UACCCGCGGCAAGACGGAAAGACCCCGUGAACCUUUACUAUAGCUUGACACUGAACAUUGAGCCUUGAUGUGUAGGAUAGGUGGGAGGCUUUGAAGUGUGGACGCCAGUCUGCAUGGAGCCGGCCUUGAAAUACCACCCUUUAAUGUUUGAUGUUCUAACGUUGACCCGUGAUCCGGGUUGCGGACAGUGUCUGGUGGGUAGUUUGACUGGGGCGGUCUCCUCCUAAAGAGUAACGGAGGAGCACGAAGGUUGGCUAAUCCUGGUCGGACAUCAGGAGGUUAGUGCAAUGGCAUAAGCCAGCUUGACUGCGAGCGUGACGGCGCGAGCAGGUGCGAAAGCAGGUCAUAGUGAUCCGGUGGUUCUGAAUGGAAGGGCCAUCGCUCAACGGAUAAAAGGUACUCCGGGGAUAACAGGCUGAUACCGCCCAAGAGUUCAUAUCGACGGCGGUGUUUGGCACCUCGAUGUCGGCUCAUCACAUCCUGGGGCUGAAGUAGGUCCCAAGGGUAUGGCUGUUCGCCAUUUAAAGUGGUACGCGAGCUGGGUUUAGAACGUCGUGAGACAGUUCGGUCCCUA